Peptoniphilus sp. oral taxon 375 is the source of this 115-nucleotide non-coding RNA. Lineage: Bacteria; Bacillati; Bacillota; Tissierellia; Tissierellales; Peptoniphilaceae. The record is from Rfam.
GAGAAUCUUCAGGGCGAGGUGCAAUUCCUCACCGGUGGUUAAAGUCCACGAGUCGCAAGACUGAAUCGGUGUAAUUCCGAUACCGACGGUAUAGUCCGGAUGAAAGAAGGAUCUU